Molecule: transfer RNA, 74 nt
Filed under: Plantactinospora sp. BB1
Lineage: Bacteria; Bacillati; Actinomycetota; Actinomycetes; Micromonosporales; Micromonosporaceae
Rfam family: tRNA
About the family: Transfer RNA (tRNA) molecules are approximately 80 nucleotides in length. Their secondary structure includes four short double-helical elements and three loops (D, anti-codon, and T loops).
Source: Rfam by way of RNAcentral
CGGGACGUGGCGCAGCUUGGCAGCGCGCCGCACUGGGGGUGCGGAGGUCGUCGGUUCGAAUCCGGCCGUCCCGA